AGAUUAAGUUAUUAAGGGCGCACGGUGGAUGCCUUGGCACUAGAAGCCGAUGAAGGACGUUACUAACGACGAUAUGCUUUGGGGAGCUGUAAGUAAGCUUUGAUCCAGAGAUUUCCGAAUGGGGAAACCCAGCAUGAGUUAUGUCAUGUUAUCGAUAUGUGAAUACAUAGCAUAUCAGAAGGCACACCCGGAGAACUGAAACAUCUUAGUACCCGGAGGAAGAGAAAGAAAAUUCGAUUCCCUUAGUAGCGGCGAGCGAAACGGGAAGAGCCCAAACCAACAAGCUUGCUUGUUGGGGUUGUAGGACACUCUAUACGGAGUUACAAAGGACGACAUUAGACGAAUCAUCUGGAAAGAUGAAUCAAAGAAGGUAAUAAUCCUGUAGUCGAAAAUGUUGUCUCUCUUGAGUGGAUCCUGAGUACGACGGAGCACGUGAAAUUCCGUCGGAAUCUGGGAGGACCAUCUCCUAAGGCUAAAUACUCUCUAGUGACCGAUAGUGAACCAGUACCGUGAGGGAAAGGUGAAAAGCACCCCGGAAGGGGAGUGAAAUAGAACCUGAAACCGUGUGCUUACAAGUAGUCAGAGCCCGUUAAUGGGUGAUGGCGUGCCUUUUGUAGAAUGAACCGGCGAGUUACGAUUUGAUGCAAGGUUAAGCAGUAAAUGUGGAGCCGUAGCGAAAGCGAGUCUGAAUAGGGCGUUUAGUAUUUGGUCGUAGACCCGAAACCAGGUGAUCUACCCUUGGUCAGGUUGAAGUUCAGGUAACACUGAAUGGAGGACCGAACCGACUUACGUUGAAAAGUGAGCGGAUGAACUGAGGGUAGCGGAGAAAUUCCAAUCGAACCUGGAGAUAGCUGGUUCUCUCCGAAAUAGCUUUAGGGCUAGCCUCAAGUGAUGAUUAUUGGAGGUAGAGCACUGUUUGGACGAGGG
Molecule: ribosomal RNA, 927 nt
Filed under: Staphylococcus aureus
Lineage: Bacteria; Bacillati; Bacillota; Bacilli; Caryophanales; Staphylococcaceae
Description: bacterial LSU rRNA
Rfam family: Bacterial large subunit ribosomal RNA
Source: RNAcentral